UUCUUAUCUUUGCAAAUUAAGUCAUACAGUAGUAACUUUAUAGUGAUGUUAUAACAUAACUAUUUAAUCAUUCAUGCUAUAUCAAUACUUUGGAGCAUAAAGUUAUACUAAAUAGGCAGCACUAAUUAAUAACUCUACUUGCUUCGGUGAAUGGUGGCUAACUUUUUUCGAUGAUAAUAGAAAUGCAGACUUUAUUUCUUCAGUUAGUUGAAUGUUAAGCAAUAGUAUCACUGAUAACCUAGUCAAAACUUAUGGCGCUUUCCAUUAACACGGCCAGACUGGUAAGAAC
Paramuricea clavata is the source of this 289-nucleotide non-coding RNA. NCBI's taxonomy places the organism in Eukaryota, Metazoa, Cnidaria, Anthozoa, Malacalcyonacea, Plexauridae. The record is from the annotation of a GenBank genome assembly.